This is a long non-coding RNA of Mastomys coucha (southern multimammate mouse), 330 nucleotides long. RefSeq lists it as uncharacterized. Lineage: Eukaryota; Metazoa; Chordata; Mammalia; Rodentia; Muridae. The transcript is spliced from 3 exons. The record is from RefSeq and is a predicted model, not a curated record.
CUAGUUCCAGAGACAGGGAGGGCUGAUAAAGAAGGGCAAGCUUUGCGUGCAUGUAUAUAUAGGUGUGUGGACGCAAUGUUCAGUGGACGGUGACCAUCCACGAACAUCCAGUCCAGGACCCCUGCCUGUGGGAUGGUACCAGCCACCUUCAGGGUGAGUCUCCCCCUCAGUGAAGCCUCCCUGGGAGCACCCUCACAGACAUGCCCAGAGGUAUGUUUUCUAGGUGAUCACAGCCACUGGAAUUCAAGAUGGCAAUGGCCAUGCCCACAAUGGAGGAAACAGCUAUACAACAGAGCUCAGGAUAGGAAAGAACUGCCAGUUCAUGAGUCC